Molecule: unclassified non-coding RNA, 335 nt
Filed under: soil metagenome
Description: partial contains 5.8S ribosomal RNA, internal transcribed spacer 2, and large subunit ribosomal RNA
Rfam family: 5.8S ribosomal RNA (bases 1-120)
Source: RNAcentral
GAUGAAGAACGUAGCGAAAUGCGAUAAGUAAUGUGAAUUGCAGAAUUCAGUGAAUCAUCGAAUCUUUGAACGCACAUUGCGCCCGCUAGUAUUCUGGCGGGCAUGCCUGUUCGAGCGUCAUUUCAACCAUCAAGCCCCCGGCUUGUGUUGGGGACCUGCGGCUGCCGCAGGCCCUGAAAACCAGUGGCGGGCUCGCUAGUCACUCCGAGCGUAGUAAUACAUCUCGCUCAGGGCGUGCUGCGGGUUCCGGCCGUUAAAAAGCCUUAUUUACCCAAGGUUGACCUCGGAUCAGGUAGGAAGACCCGCUGAACUUAAGCAUAUCAAUAAGCGGAGGA